This 71-nucleotide transfer RNA is filed under the name bovine gut metagenome. It matches the Rfam family "tRNA". From Rfam's summary of the family: Transfer RNA (tRNA) molecules are approximately 80 nucleotides in length. Their secondary structure includes four short double-helical elements and three loops (D, anti-codon, and T loops). Further hydrogen bonds mediate the characteristic L-shaped molecular structure. tRNAs have two regions of fundamental functional importance: the anti-codon, which is responsible for specific mRNA codon recognition, and the 3' end, to which the tRNAs corresponding amino acid is attached (by aminoacyl-tRNA synthetases). tRNAs cope with the degeneracy of the genetic code in two manners: having more than one tRNA (with a specific anti-codon) for a particular amino acid; and 'wobble' base-pairing, i.e. permitting non-standard base-pairing at the 3rd anti-codon position. The record is from RNAcentral.
GGGGAUUAGCUCAGCUGGAAGAGCGUCUGGUUCGCAAUCAGAAGGUCACGGGUUCGAACCCCGCAUUCUCC